Molecule: small RNA, 137 nt
Filed under: Sinorhizobium meliloti 2011
Lineage: Bacteria; Pseudomonadati; Pseudomonadota; Alphaproteobacteria; Hyphomicrobiales; Rhizobiaceae
Description: putative ncRNA
Source: RNAcentral
AGGCUGUCCUGGCUGCCGGAAUCACCGCCGCAGCCUUAAGCUGCGGCGGCGUCCGUUUGGAGUUUCCAAACAUGCUGAUUUCGAGUCCGCGGGAUCAAGCGACGAAUUCGAAAUUGCCGGCGACCAGGGCAGUCUUG